Molecule: ribosomal RNA, 253 nt
Filed under: uncultured bacterium
Lineage: Bacteria
Description: partial 16S ribosomal RNA
Rfam family: Bacterial small subunit ribosomal RNA
Source: RNAcentral
UACAGAGGCCCCGAGCGUUAGGCGGAAUCACUGGGCUUAAAGCGUGUGUAGGUGGAUGCCUAAGUACCUUGUGAAAUCCCACGGCUUAACCGUGGAAUUGCUGGGUAUACUGGGUGUCUUGAGCCACUCAGGGGCUACCGGAACAAAUGGUGGAGCGGUGAAAUGCGUAGAUAUCAUUUGGAACGCCAAUGGUGAAAACAGGUAGCUGGGGGUGUGCUGACACUGAGACACGAAAGCCAGGGGAGCGAACGGG